UUAAGUUCAGCGGGUAGUCCUACCUGAUUUGAGGUCAAAUUGUCAUGUAUGUUGUCCAGAUGAACGGACAGUUAGAAGCGAUGCACACAAGACAUCCAUGGCGUAGAUAAUUAUCACACCAAAUAGACAGUCCACGCGGGGCACCAGCUAAUGCAUUUAAGGGGAGCUGACCUCUGAAGAAGCCGGCAAAAAAGGACCCC
Molecule: unclassified non-coding RNA, 200 nt
Filed under: Hymenogaster sp.
Lineage: Eukaryota; Fungi; Basidiomycota; Agaricomycetes; Agaricales; Hymenogastraceae
Description: partial internal transcribed spacer 2
Source: RNAcentral